GAAUCUUGCACAAUGGAGGAAACUCUGAUGCAGCGACGCCGCGUGAGCGAAGAAGCCUUUCGGGGUGUAAAGCUCUUACGCCAGGGACGAUAAUGACGGUACCUGGAGAAGCAGCUGCGGCUAACUACGUGCCAGCAGCCGCGGUAAUACGUAGGCAGCAAGCGUUGUUCGGAAUUACUGGGCGUAAAGGGUGCGUAGGCGGCGCUCUAAGUUUGGUGUGAGAUCUCCCGGCUUAACUGGGAGGGUGCACUGAAAACUGGAGCGCUCGAGUAUGGGAGAGGAAAGCGGAAUUCCUGGUGUAGCGGUGAAAUGCGUAGAGAUCAGGAGGAACACCUGCGGUGUAGACGGCUUUCUGGACCAUAACUGACGCUGAGGCACGAAAGCGUGGGUAGCAAACAG
This 399-nucleotide ribosomal RNA is filed under the name uncultured bacterium. RNAcentral describes it as "bacterial SSU rRNA". It matches the Rfam family "Bacterial small subunit ribosomal RNA", at positions 359 to 775 of the family's 1533-position model. The record is from RNAcentral.